This 229-nucleotide ribosomal RNA is filed under the name uncultured bacterium. Its description in RNAcentral is "partial 16S ribosomal RNA". It matches the Rfam family "Bacterial small subunit ribosomal RNA", at positions 568 to 796 of the family's 1533-position model. The record is from RNAcentral.
UGCGCAGGCGGGCUUGUAAGUCAGUGGUGAAAUACUGCCGCUUAACGGUAGAACUGCCAUUGAUACUGCGAGUCUUGAAUAUGGUUGAGGUAGGCGGAAUGUGUUGUGUAGCGGUGAAAUGCAUAGAUAUGACACAGAACGCCGAUUGCGAAGGCAGCUUACUAAGCUAUUAUUGACGCUGAGGCACGAAAGCGUGGGGAGCGAACAGGAUUAGAUACCCUGGUAGUCC